RNAcentral lists this small nucleolar RNA (85 nucleotides) under Meriones unguiculatus (Mongolian gerbil). RNAcentral's name for it is "Small nucleolar RNA SNORA17 (ENSMUGG00000008954.1)". It matches the Rfam family "Small nucleolar RNA SNORA17". From Rfam's summary of the family: snoRNA ACA 17 belongs to the H/ACA family of snoRNAs and is predicted to guide pseudouridylation of the 28S rRNA at positions U4659 and U4598. Lineage: Eukaryota; Metazoa; Chordata; Mammalia; Rodentia; Muridae. The record is from RNAcentral.
CCUGCCUCUAGAGGCAUUGCGGAUGUGGCUGUUGUGUCACGUGCAUCAGUAGGUGGCAGAAAGGAGAGAGACUAUGUCUAACAUU